AUGGCGACGAUGUCCCGCGCCCUCGGCUCGGCGUUCGUGGGGUUCACGCGGACGCCGGCCGUGCCGGCGACGACGCCCUUGCCGUUGCCCUCCUCUCGCGCCUCCUCGGCGCUGCUCCUGCGCUGGCAGCGGAGCCGGGGCGUCGGCGGCGUCGGCGGCAGCGGCGGCGCGCGGCGGUACUCCUCGGGCCGCAACGCGAAGAUUAGCAUGAGCCUCCGCGCCGGCAUCGUCGGCCUGCCCAACGUCGGCAAGUCCACCCUCUUCAACGCCAUUGUUGAAAAUGGGAAGGCCCAAGCUGCAAACUUUCCCUUCUGCACCAUAAACCCAAACACUGGCGUCGUGGCUAUUCCCGAUCCUCGCUUGGACGUGCUCUCAAAGUUAAGCAAGUCCAAGCAGACGGUCCCGACAUCCAUUGAGCUUGUCGACAUUGCAGGCCUCGUCAAAGGAGCAAGCAAAGGAGAGGGACUGGGAAAUCAAUUUCUUUCAAACAUCCGUGAAGUUGAUUCUAUACUCCAGGUUGUGCGAUGUUUUGAAGAUGAUGAUAUUGUUCACGUGAAUGGAAAAGUUGAUCCCAAGUCAGAUAUUGAUGUGAUUAACUUAGAACUCAUAUUUUGUGAUCUUGAACAGAUAGAGAAGAGAUUGGAUAAGCUUAAAAAGAGCAAAACUAAGGAUCCACAAGUAAAAGUGAAGGAAGGAGCGGAAAGGUCAGGAUUAGAAAAAAUUCUGGAUGCACUUAUGGAUGGAAAGCCUGCAAGAUCUGUUGAUUUGCCUGACCAUGAGAAAGAAGCUAUACAACAUCUUUAUCUGCUCACUAUGAAGCCAGUCAUUUAUGUUGCUAAUGUAACAGAGUCUGAUCUUGCCGACCCUGAUAAAAAUCCCCAUGUCCAGGAGGUGGCCAAACUAGCAUCAGAGCUGAAAUCUGGCAUGGUUACAAUAUCAGCUCAGGUUGAGGCUGAACUGUCUGAACUACCACUGGAAGAGAGAGUUGAAUACCUAAAUUCUCUUGAUGUUGCCGAAAGUGGGCUAGGCAACUUGGUAAAAGCAACAUAUAACCUUUUGGGACUAAGAACUUAUUUCACUACCGGAGAGCAGGAAACAAAAGCUUGGACCAUUAUUGCAGGCAUGACUGCACCUCAAGCAGCCGGAGUUAUUCAUAGCGACUUCCAGAAAGGCUUCAUUAGAGCUGAAACUGUAUCUUACGAUGAUUUUGUUGCGGCGGGUACUCUUGGAGCAGCAAGGGAGAAGGGAGUGAUGAGGUUGGAAGGGAAGGAGUAUAUUGUGCAGGAAGGAGAUGUCAUGCUCUUCCGAUUCAAUGUGUGA
RNAcentral lists this ribosomal RNA (1320 nucleotides) under Triticum aestivum (bread wheat). Its description in RNAcentral is "partial small subunit ribosomal RNA". The record is from RNAcentral. Lineage: Eukaryota; Viridiplantae; Streptophyta; Magnoliopsida; Poales; Poaceae.